Molecule: long non-coding RNA, 1248 nt
Organism: Neofelis nebulosa (Clouded leopard)
Lineage: Eukaryota; Metazoa; Chordata; Mammalia; Carnivora; Felidae
Exons: 3
Source: RefSeq, a predicted model, not a curated record
UUAUCAUAUAUGUCAGGACAUGGUAAGGAAGGAGACUAAUGAAAGUGGCCUCUGAUUCAGUCUUUUAAAAUAAUUUUUAACAUUUCUCUUUUUAAAUAUAUAGAUUCUAGAUUUUUAUGUUUAACCAGCAAAUAUGGUGUUACUACUAAGUAACACUUGUUUAGACCUGAUAUCACAAGUAUAAAAGAAAACCAACAAUAUAAUGCUUUCAUCUUUGUUUCUCCUUAAAUAUUUGUUUUUCCUUCGUGGAACUGGGAGAAGAGAAAGUUUCAGGUCACCCCAGAAGGCACAGAAUUGCUGGGCCAGCCAUCUAGAAGCAAAGCACAAUAUGGACCUGUCCGUAUUUAUACCUCCUCUGCCCCAAGGCAAUUCCACAGACUUGAACCUCCCCACCCUUCAGAACAGGAGAAAAUUGAAUUUAUUUCCACUUAAGUUCCAGGAGGUUGCCAUGUUCCCCAUGGGCACUCAAUAAAUAUUGACUAAAUUGAAUGUUGCCCUGUGUUAUCUUCCUUUCUUUCUUUUUCCUUCCCUGGUCCUCUGACUGCUUUCUUGGGGCCUUGAAAAUUAUAUAUAUAUAUGUAUUUUUCAGAUUCUUUUUGUCUCAUCAGCUCUCAGUGUGAGGCCUCUCUAUUUUAAUAUCACCUCUUUGUGUUUGUUUUCUCUGUGUGUCUUCUCUCAGUUUCUCUUGGAAUCUGUUCUCUCUCUGCUUUCUUUUUCUGAGACUGUCUCUCUCUGUUCCUCUACUCCUCCCAUCUCUCUGUCUCUCUGCCUGUCUCUCUCUCACAGAUGUACCUUUCUGUAUUUGUGUUUGUUCUCCCCCUGGAGUUAUCAUCUGAAGCGGUUCACAACAAGCCUCCCCAAAAUGUGCUACAUAGUCAGGUAGAUUCUUUGAGCUGUAGUCAAUGAUGUCCCAAAAGACUCAAGGAAGAGUUUUUACCAUCCCCUUAGCUGCCUAAAAGAAUUUAGAUAGAGGGCCUUGUCCCAGAAGAGAACAAUCACCAGAUGAAACUACAAGGAAUAUGGGACAGCAACUCUGCAAGUUAACAAGAUGACCCACGUCCUCGUCUUGCAGAUGAGGAACUGAGGCUAAGAGAAGUUAAGUGACUUGACAAAAAUCAUAGCAGAACUGAAACUUCCAUGCCAAGAACUACGCCAAGCACUGUAUUCUAAUGAAACUCAUAUAAUCCUCCCAAUGACUUCAUUUGAUCAAGGAUAUAACGGCAGUGUGGAGUAAUUUCCAAAAAUGAC